RNAcentral lists this ribosomal RNA (253 nucleotides) under uncultured bacterium. RNAcentral describes it as "partial 16S ribosomal RNA". It matches the Rfam family "Bacterial small subunit ribosomal RNA", at positions 524 to 776 of the family's 1533-position model. The record is from RNAcentral.
UACGUAGGGGGCAAGCGUUAUCCGGAUUUACUGGGUGUAAAGGGGGCGCAGACGGCGAUGCAAGCCAGGAGUGAAAGCCCGGGGCCCAACCCCGGGACUGCUCUUGGAACUGCGCGGCUGGAGUGCAGGAGGGGCAGGCGGAAUUCCUGGUGUAGCGGUGAAAUGCGUAGAUAUCAGGAGGAACACCGGUGUCGAAGGCGGCCUGCUGGACUGCGACUGACGUUGAGGCCCGAAAGCGUGGGGAGCAAACAGG